CCUCCCCCAGUGGAGGGGCAAGUCCUGCACUGGGGGGCACACAUCCACUGAGGGUGCAUGUGUGUUUUUGUUUUUGAAUGUUAUCUCUGUGCUGGGUGAAGCGGGUAAGGAGCCUGUUACUCGUUUCACCCACAUCACUGAUCCGACAAAUUUGGCAGGUUAUCAAAUAAACAAUUUUUUUUUUAUUUGGGGUUUCCUGACUGGUCUGAUUUUAAGAUUGUUGGUAAAUUUGUUUUGUACCCAGUGCAGCUGCUUGAAGAAUCCACCCUGACCUUUGACCUCUGCUUUCUUCAGAGGUCUUACCUCAGCACGGACGAGGAAAUCCCUCAGGUUUUUUUUUCUUUUGUAGGAAGCAAAGAAGUGUCAGAUUGGAUUUGUAAAAUUCUGUGUGAUGUUAUACACAAGGCGUCCUGCGGAGGAGGAGAAGCUUGUGAUCAUCGGUGAUUCAUCGGGGGUUUGGACUCAAGGAGGUUCUUCCUGCAUGCUCUCAGUAGGCCUCACAGUCGGAGGGAGGAUCUCAUGAGGUUUGCUCCACUUUUCCGGUUCCUCAUGAAUCUUUGGGAGCAAAUAAAACCUCCUGGUUCUGGGUUCAGAGGAGCCACGCAGGAGGAAGAGAGGUGAUUGGAGGAGACCAGUCUGACUCUGGAAUAAAAGGCAACAAUGAACCUCACACAUCAGUCCCCUCACGCCUUCAUCCCCCACCCAGAUGAAGACAACCACGGCACGUGCACGAGACAGGACAAAUUAACUGUCACAAAGCUUUACUGCAUUUUAAAUGAAUAUCAUUAAAAGAAAGCAAAAUAAAACUUUUUAAACACGGAGAAGUUAAAAUAUAACGGCCCAACAUGGAGACGUUAAGAUGUAACGGCCCUCAGAGCGACCUGGCAUGUUGCCGAAGUUACCCUCGCCUGGUAAAACUAACAAAACGGUGCAUAAAAACAGUGACUCAACGAUAUAUUCUGGUCAACUAAUACGUAAACAUCUUUACAAGGUACUUUUGGUGUUUUUCUUUACCGUAUACUGACCUGGAGAACAAAUAAACACGAGUCACCAAUGACGAUCGUAGCGCUAUCGUUAGCAUCCAGAUUGCCUUUAGAGCAAACCGGAAGUUCAU
Molecule: long non-coding RNA, 1114 nt
Organism: Gambusia affinis (western mosquitofish)
Lineage: Eukaryota; Metazoa; Chordata; Actinopteri; Cyprinodontiformes; Poeciliidae
Exons: 4
Source: RefSeq, a predicted model, not a curated record